ACAUAUUACUAUAUAGAAUUCAUAUGUCAUCGAUAACUUUUACAUUAUUUUUUACAAUCCGCCUUACUUAAACGCGCCUUAUCUAAUAGAUAUAUAAAUGUAUCUCUAUUUAU
This 113-nucleotide small RNA is filed under the name Arabidopsis thaliana (thale cress). RNAcentral's name for it is "ATSL142300". The record is from RNAcentral. Lineage: Eukaryota; Viridiplantae; Streptophyta; Magnoliopsida; Brassicales; Brassicaceae.